CGCCACUACAUGGGGGCCACAGAAGGAGCGUUCACGUCGCGGUCCCUGUCAGGUGUUCUACCUGCGGAUCCUUCU
This 75-nucleotide ribozyme is filed under the name Branchiostoma floridae (Florida lancelet). RNAcentral's name for it is "Mammalian CPEB3 ribozyme". It matches the Rfam family "Mammalian CPEB3 ribozyme". Rfam says of the family: The mammalian CPEB3 ribozyme is a self cleaving RNA located in the second intron of the CPEB3 gene which belongs to a family of genes regulating messenger RNA polyadenylation. This ribozyme is highly conserved and found only in mammals. There is currently only one other known self cleaving ribozyme in mammals, the CoTC motif. Lineage: Eukaryota; Metazoa; Chordata; Leptocardii; Amphioxiformes; Branchiostomatidae. The record is from Rfam by way of RNAcentral.